This 251-nucleotide small nuclear RNA is filed under the name Erinaceus europaeus (western European hedgehog). Its description in RNAcentral is "7SK RNA". It matches the Rfam family "7SK RNA". Rfam says of the family: 7SK was discovered as an abundant small nuclear RNA in the mid-70s but a possible function has only recently been suggested. Two independent studies have found that 7SK RNA binds the CDK9/cyclin T complex (known as elongation factor P-TEFb). P-TEFb activates transcription by phosphorylating the C-terminal domain of RNA polymerase II. The record is from Rfam by way of RNAcentral. Lineage: Eukaryota; Metazoa; Chordata; Mammalia; Eulipotyphla; Erinaceidae.
GGAUUUGAGGACAAUCUGGCUGCGACAUCUGUCAUCCCACUGAUUGCCGGGGUUGAUCUGGGUGAUCUGGCUGGCUAGGUGGGUGUCCCCUCCCUCCCUCACCGCUCCAUGUGUGUCCCUCCAAAGAGGAUGGCCUUCCCUAGUAGAGUAUAUCUGAGUAAACUACGCUCCCCUGCUAGAACCUCCAAACAAGCUCUCAAGUUCCCAGUUCUCACUAAAGUAGUGAAGUGCUGGUGACUCAAUUAGUUUCU